GAUGAAGAACGCAGCGAAAUGCGAUACUUGGUGUGAAUUGCAGAAUCCCGUGAACCAUCGAGUCUUUGAACGCAAGUUGCGCCUCAAGCCAUUAGGUUGAGGGCACGUCUGCCUGGGCGUCACAUAUCGUUGCCUGAUGCCAGUUUCCUCGUGAUGGGUGACUGUGCAGGGCGAAUGAUGGCUUCCCGUGAGCAUUGUUGCCUCAUGGUUGGUUGAAAAUUGAGUCCUUGGUAGGGAGCGCCGUGAUAGAUGGUGGUUGAGUGACGAACGAGACCCAAUCAUGUGAGACCCCUACCGAAUUUGGCCUUCAUGACCCACAUGCGUCUUUGGAACGCUCAUGACGAGACCUCAGGUCAGGCGGGGCUACCCGCUGAGUUCAAGCAUAUCAAUAAGCGGAGGA
RNAcentral lists this unclassified non-coding RNA (400 nucleotides) under soil metagenome. RNAcentral's name for it is "partial contains 5.8S ribosomal RNA, internal transcribed spacer 2, and large subunit ribosomal RNA". The stretch from base 1 to 122 matches the Rfam family "5.8S ribosomal RNA", at positions 35 to 154 of the family's 154-position model. The record is from RNAcentral.